RNAcentral lists this ribosomal RNA (657 nucleotides) under uncultured Lachnospiraceae bacterium. RNAcentral's name for it is "bacterial SSU rRNA". It matches the Rfam family "Bacterial small subunit ribosomal RNA", at positions 85 to 759 of the family's 1533-position model. The record is from RNAcentral. Lineage: Bacteria; Bacillati; Bacillota; Clostridia; Lachnospirales; Lachnospiraceae.
GGCCGAUUUAGUGGCGGACGGGUGAGUAACGCGUGGGUAACCUGCCUCAUACAGGGGGAUAGCAGUUGGAAACGACUGGUAAAACCGCAUAAGCGCACGGUGUCGCAUGACACAGUGUGAAAAAACUCCGGUGGUAUGGGAUGGGCCCGCGUCUGAUUAGGCAGUUGGCGGGGUAACGGCCCACCAAACCGACGAUCAGUAGCCGGCCUGAGAGGGCGACCGGCCACAUUGGGACUGAGACACGGCCCAAACUCCUACGGGAGGCAGCAGUGGGGAAUAUUGCACAAUGGGGGAAACCCUGAUGCAGCGACGCCGCGUGAGCGAAGAAGUAUUUCGGUAUGUAAAGCUCUAUCAGCAGGGAAGAUAAUGACGGUACCCGACUAAGAAGCCCCGGCUAACUACGUGCCAGCAGCCGCGGUAAUACGUAGGGGGCAAGCGUUAUCCGGAUUUACUGGGUGUAAAGGGAGCGUAGACGGCAAGGCAAGUCUGAUGUGAAAACCCAGGGCUUAACCCUGGGACUGCAUUGGAAACUGUCUGGCUCGAGUGCCGGAGAGGUAAGCGGAAUUCCUAGUGUAGCGGUGAAAUGCGUAGAUAUUAGGAAGAACACCAGUGGCGAAGGCGGCUUACUGGACGGUAACUGACGUUGAGGCUCGAAAG